CCUACGGGUGACAGCAGUGGGGAAUCUUUCACACUGGGGGAAACCCUGCUGCAGCGACGCCGCGUGAGUGACGAAGUCCUUCGUUAUGUCAAGCUCUAUCAGCAGGGAAGCAAAUGACGGUACCUGAGUAAGAAGCCCCGGCUAACUACGUGCCAGCAGCCGCGGUAAUACGUCGGGGGCAAGCGUUAUCCGGAUUUACUGGGUGUAAAGGGAGCGUAGACGGCAGUGCAAGUCUGGAGUGAAAUCCCCGCGCUCAACGUGGGAGCUGCCAUUGAAACUGGCCAACUGGAGUGUGUGAGAGGAUAGAGGAAUGCCAGGUGUAGGAGUGAAAUCCGUAGAUAUCUGGAGGAACAUCAGUGGCGAAGGCGACUAACUGGCACAUAACUGACGCUGAGGAGCGAAAGCGUGGGUAGCAAACAGGAUUAGAUACCCGUGUAGUC
This 440-nucleotide ribosomal RNA is filed under the name uncultured bacterium. RNAcentral describes it as "partial 16S ribosomal RNA". It matches the Rfam family "Bacterial small subunit ribosomal RNA", at positions 338 to 795 of the family's 1533-position model. The record is from RNAcentral.